Molecule: ribosomal RNA, 578 nt
Filed under: Lactiplantibacillus plantarum
Lineage: Bacteria; Bacillati; Bacillota; Bacilli; Lactobacillales; Lactobacillaceae
Description: bacterial SSU rRNA
Rfam family: Bacterial small subunit ribosomal RNA
Source: RNAcentral
UCAUGAUUUACAUUUGAGUGAGUGGCGAACUGGUGAGUAACACGUGGGAAACCUGCCCAGAAGCGGGGGAUAACACCUGGAAACAGAUGCUAAUACCGCAUAACAACUUGGACCGCAUGGUCCGAGCUUGAAAGAUGGCUUCGGCUAUCACUUUUGGAUGGUCCCGCGGCGUAUUAGCUAGAUGGUGGGGUAACGGCUCACCAUGGCAAUGAUACGUAGCCGACCUGAGAGGGUAAUCGGCCACAUUGGGACUGAGACACGGCCCAAACUCCUACGGGAGGCAGCAGUAGGGAAUCUUCCACAAUGGACGAAAGUCUGAUGGAGCAACGCCGCGUGAGUGAAGAAGGGUUUCGGCUCGUAAAACUCUGUUGUUAAAGAAGAACAUAUCUGAGAGUAACUGUUCAGGUAUUGACGGUAUUUAACCAAAAAGCCACGGCUAACUACGUGCCAGCAGCCGCGGUAAUACGUAGGUGGCAAGCGUUGUCCGGAUUUAUUGGGCGUAAAGCGAGCGCAGGCGGUUUUUUAAGUCUGAUGUGAAAGCCUUCGGCUCAACCGAAGAAGUGCAUCGGAAACUGGGA